AUGAAGACUGCUGUGGGAAGCCACCAGGUGCAGCAGCAGAUAGCUUGUCACUUGGCAGACAGCACAACAGCCCUGCUGGCACUCGUAGCCCACCGGGGAUUAUCACUGUGCAUUGGUGCAUGGAGGUUUCUGAAGCGUGCAGAGGCGAGCUGCUGGGAUGUCAGGGAGCUGCGCAGAGAGCGAGGCUGCUGUAACUGUUUGCUGUUGCUCCUGUUGGUAACCAAAUGCCACCAGCAGAUGAAAUCCUUUGAUACCUUGCUGCUGCUUCUGAACAGCUUCCCCACCAUGGCUGCAGAAGUCAACAUUAGGAGCUUAUGCAGAAUUUUAGAUACAGCUGUGAAAGGUUCAAACUAUUUAAAGGAAAAGGAAGUAAAAAAGAAAGAAAGAAAGAAAGAAAGAAAGAAGGCAAGCACACCAUCCCCUGCAUCUAAAUGAAACUUGGGUCACAGAUGCAGAGAAG
RNAcentral lists this long non-coding RNA (460 nucleotides) under Numida meleagris (helmeted guineafowl). Its description in RNAcentral is "lncRNA (ENSNMEG00000012786.1)". Lineage: Eukaryota; Metazoa; Chordata; Aves; Galliformes; Numididae. The record is from RNAcentral.